This 609-nucleotide ribosomal RNA is filed under the name Loma embiotocia. RNAcentral's name for it is "SSU rRNA". It matches the Rfam family "Microsporidia small subunit ribosomal RNA", at positions 702 to 1304 of the family's 1311-position model. The record is from RNAcentral. Lineage: Eukaryota; Fungi; Microsporidia; Glugeidae.
CGUGGUGCCGAAUAAUGGCGACGCGAAAGAGAAAUCGAGUAGGGCCCUGGGGAGAGUACACGCGCAAGCGAGAAAUUUAAAGGAAAUUGACGGAAGAACACCACAAGGAGUGGAGUGUGCGGCUUAAUUUGACUCAACGCGGGACAACUUACCGGGCCCGACGACCGUAAGAGUGUAACACACGAUAGGUCGAAGAGUGGUGCAUGGCCGUUAACGACGAGUGGAGUGAUCUUUGGGUUAAGUCCGUAAAUUAGUGAGACCUCAGCCGUAAGGGACAGGUGCGCAAAGCACAGGAAGGAUGGGUCAAGGACAGGUCAGUGAUGCCCUUAGAUGGUCCGGGCUGCACGCGCACUACAGUGGUCGCCGGAAUUACCUGAUAAUUAUAAAGGCGAUCGAGAGGGAAUGAGCUUUGUAAGAGGCUCAGGAACGAGGAAUUGCUAGUAAUCGCGGACUCAUUAAGACGCGAUGAAUACGUCCCUGUUCUUUGUACACACCGCCCGUCGUUAUCGAAGAUGAAGACAGGCGCGAACGAUCUACCAGAAAGUGAGCGCAGGUCUUUAGAUCUGAUACAAGUCGUAACAAGGUAGCUGUAGGAGAACCUGUAGCUGG